Molecule: long non-coding RNA, 588 nt
Organism: Macaca mulatta (Rhesus monkey)
Lineage: Eukaryota; Metazoa; Chordata; Mammalia; Primates; Cercopithecidae
Source: Ensembl
CUUCACAGUAAUGAGCCCUCUUGCUCUAUUAAUUCCUGUAAGAGCAGGUUGUUAUAAAGAGCUUGGUACCUGCUCUCACCGCCUUGCUCUCUUGCUUUCUCUCUCACUGCAUGCUCUGUGCACAUGCCUGCUCCUCUUUGCCUUCUGUCAUGAGUGAGGACAGCCUGCAGCCUUCCCCAGAAGCAGAUGCUGGUGCCAUGCCUCUUGUACAGCCUGCAUAACUGUGAGUCAAAUAGAUCUCUUUUCUUUAGCAUUUACUACAACUCCAGUUUUCCUUGACAGCAACACUGAAAGGACUAAGACAAUGGCUCUUCCAAAGGAAGAAGGAUUAACCUGUCCUGGCUAUCCUGGCUGUCACCUACAUUCCAGGAUGAAGAAAUAUGGUGAUAUACUCAGGCCACUGGAAUGGACUCCAGGACAGCAAUCGUAUUCUGCUUGUAUGCCCCCGGGGAAACAAUAAUGCCAGCUGCUUAUGUCUAGAAAAGGACAUGACUUUGAUAAAUGAAAAGAAAGUUCAUGGUAAGUAGUUUUUAUGUACCAUAUUUUAGAAAGUGUUUUCUUUUGGUGUUUUUUAGAUAUGAUAUCAGC